This 813-nucleotide ribosomal RNA is filed under the name Pestalotiopsis glandicola. Its description in RNAcentral is "eukaryotic LSU rRNA". It matches the Rfam family "Eukaryotic large subunit ribosomal RNA", at positions 98 to 936 of the family's 3401-position model. The record is from RNAcentral. Lineage: Eukaryota; Fungi; Ascomycota; Sordariomycetes; Amphisphaeriales; Sporocadaceae.
GCGGCAACAGCUCAAAUUUGAAAUCUGGCCCUUGGGUCCGAAUUGUAAUUUGUAGAGGAUGAUUUUGGUGCGGUAUCUUCCGAGUUCCUUGGAACAGGACGCCUUAGAGGGUGAGAGCCCCGUACGGUUGAAUGCCUAGCCUCUGUAAAUCUCCUUCGACGAGUCGAGUAGUUUGGGAAUGCUGCUCUAAAUGGGAGGUAAAUUUCUUCUAAAGCUAAAUAUUGGCCAGAGACCGAUAGCGCACAAGUAGAGUGAUCGAAAGAUGAAAAGCACUUUGAAAAGAGGGUUAAAUAGCACGUGAAAUUGUUGAAAGGGAAGGAUUUGUGACCAGACUUUUUCUGGGCGGAUCAUCCGGGGUUCUCUCCGGUGCACUUCGCCCAGUAAAGGCCAGCAUCGGUUUUCGGCGUGGGAUAAAAGCAGUAGGAAUGUGGCUCUCUACGGGGAGUGUUAUAGCCUACUGUAUAAUACCGCGCUGGGGACCGAGGUUCGCGCUUCUGCAAGGAUGCUGGCGUAAUGGUUAUCAAUCACCCGUCUUGAAACACGGACCAAGGAGUCGAACAUUUGUGCAAGUGUUUGGGUGUUAAACCCUCACGCGUAAUGAAAGUGAACGGAGGUGAGAGCCCUUACGGGUGCAUCAUCGACCGAUCCUGAAGUUUUCGGAUGGAUUUGAGUAAGAGCAUAACUGUUCGGACCCGAAAGAUGGUGAACUAUGCGUGGAUAGGGUGAAGCCAGAGGAAACUCUGGUGGAGGCUCGCAGCGGUUCUGACGUGCAAAUCGAUCGUCAAAUCUGCGCAUGGGGGCGAAAGACUAAUC